CCUUGUGCAUCUCCCCCGCUCGUCAGCACGGCCAUGGCCCGGCCAGCCCCCGUCAUCUUCAGCUUCUCCAGAUCCAUCGAGGCCUUUCUUCUCGCCGGC
Salarias fasciatus (jewelled blenny) is the source of this 99-nucleotide long non-coding RNA. RefSeq lists it as uncharacterized. Lineage: Eukaryota; Metazoa; Chordata; Actinopteri; Blenniiformes; Blenniidae. The record is from RefSeq and is a predicted model, not a curated record. The transcript is spliced from 3 exons.